RNAcentral lists this ribosomal RNA (497 nucleotides) under uncultured bacterium. RNAcentral describes it as "partial 16S ribosomal RNA". It matches the Rfam family "Bacterial small subunit ribosomal RNA", at positions 28 to 507 of the family's 1533-position model. The record is from RNAcentral.
GACGAACGCUGGCGGCGUGCCUAAUACAUGCAAGUAGAACGCUGAAGCGAGGAGCUUGCUCUUCUUGGAUGAGUUGCGAACGGGUGAGUAACGCGUAGGUAACCUGCCUUGUAGCGGGGGAUAACUAUUGGAAACGAUAGCUAAUACCGCAUAACAAUGGAUGACACAUGUCAUUUAUUUGAAAGGGGCAAUUGCUCCACUACAAGAUGGACCCGCGUUGUAUUAGCUAGUAGGUGAGGUAAUGGCUCACCUAGGCGACGAUACAUAGCCGACCUGAGAGGGUGAUCGGCCACACUGGGACUGAGACACGGCCCAGACUCCUACGGGAGGCAGCAGUAGGGAAUCUUCGGCAAUGGGGGCAACCCUGACCGAGCAACGCCGCGUGAGUGAAGAAGGUUUUCGGAUCGUAAAGCUCUGUUGUAAGUCAAGAACGGGUGUGAGAGUGGAAAGUUCACACUGUGACGGUAGCUUACCAGAAAGGGACGGCUAACUACGUG